RNAcentral lists this ribosomal RNA (492 nucleotides) under uncultured bacterium. RNAcentral describes it as "partial 16S ribosomal RNA". It matches the Rfam family "Bacterial small subunit ribosomal RNA", at positions 29 to 507 of the family's 1533-position model. The record is from RNAcentral.
AGUGAACGCUGGCGGUAGGCCUAACACAUGCAAGUCGAACGGCAGCACAGUAAGAGCUUGCUCUUACGGGUGGCGAGUGGCGGACGGGUGAGGAAUACAUCGGAAUCUACUUUUUCGUGGGGGAUAACGUAGGGAAACUUACGCUAAUACCGCAUACGACCUACGGGUGAAAGCAGGGGAUCUUCGCACCUUGCGCGAUUGAAUGAGCCGAUGUCGGAUUAGCUAGUUGGCGGGGCAAAGGCCCACCAAGGCGACGAUCCGUAGCUGGUCUGAGAGGAUGAUCAGCCACACUGGAACUGAGACACGGUCCAGACUCCUACGGGAGGCAGCAGUGGGGAAUAUUGGACAAUGGGCGCAAGCCUGAUCCAGCCAUACCGCGUGGGUGAAGAAGGCCUUCGGGUUGUAAAGCCCUUUUGUUGGGAAAGAAAAGCAGCAGGUUAAUACCCCGCUGUUCUGACGGUACCCAAAGAAUAAGCACCGGCUAACUUCGUG